CCUACGGGAGGCAGCAGUAGGGAAUCUUCCGCAAUGGACGAAAGUCUGACGGAGCAACGCCGCGUGAGUGAUGAAGGCUUUCGGGUCGUAAAGCUCUGUUGUUAGGGAAGAACAAGUACGAGAGUAACUGCUCGUACCUUGACGGUACCUAACCAGAAAGCCCCGGCUAACUACGUGCCAGCAGCCGCGGUAAUA
This 195-nucleotide ribosomal RNA is filed under the name uncultured bacterium. RNAcentral's name for it is "partial 16S ribosomal RNA". It matches the Rfam family "Bacterial small subunit ribosomal RNA", at positions 338 to 525 of the family's 1533-position model. The record is from RNAcentral.